Molecule: long non-coding RNA, 1745 nt
Organism: Arachis duranensis
Lineage: Eukaryota; Viridiplantae; Streptophyta; Magnoliopsida; Fabales; Fabaceae
Exons: 2
Source: RefSeq, a predicted model, not a curated record
AUUCUCCUCUCAGAGUCUCAUCUUCUUUUCAGUCACGGCGGCCGCUCCCCUUCUCAUUCACGCCAUCAUCGUCUUCUCAGUCAUGCAGCCUCCUCCUCCUCUCCGUCACGCAGCCGCCAUCCUCCUUGUCUCCUCACGAAGCCGCCGUCCUAAGGGUACCUGCAGUAUUGAUUGUUUUCAACAAUGAAAAUGUAUAUGGUGGCUGAUGGAAAACCCCUAAAGAGAUGAAUGGCUAUCAUGCUUUGAGUGUUGUGAGUUCUAAACUUUUUUCGUGAAUAUAUACACAAAAUUCUCCCUUACUUCUAGACAUUAAGAACUCAAUAAUUUUAUUGGAACCAAUUAAAAAGUUUUUGGAAGUUUGUUUCUUAGUAUCUUGUUUUGCAUAACAGUUCAAUCAAUGACAGAUUUCAAUUGUGUUACUUAAUUCUAGAAUAUUAUUGCUAAGCGGCAAUAAUUUGAGAGAUAAUAUGUAACGAGUAUCACCAAAUGUCACUCUUUUAGAUUUGUCUUAUUAGUUAAGGAGUUGCAACUUAUGAAGUAAAUCAAAAUAAUAUGAUGGCGAGCAUAGUGGAAGGAUAAAUUAAAAGAGUGACAUUUGAAGAUAUUCGUGGCUCGUUACUUCUCAAAUUAUUGCCACUCAACAAUAAUACUUUGGAAUUAAGCAAUACUUUUGAAAUACUGUCAUUGAUUGAACUCUUAUGCAAAAUAAAAUGCUGAAAAACAAAUUUCUAGAACUUGUCAAUUGAUUCUAAUGAAAUUCUUGAGUUCAAAAUGUUUAGAAGUGGUAGAGAGUUUUGUGUAUAUAUCCACUAAAAAAGUUUGAAACUCAAUGCAUUCAAUAUCAGAGUUCGAAGUUAAAAAGGAGGGAUCCAUUGAAGAUCAAAGUCAAAGAUCAAUAAUUGUAAGGCUAAACUUAAAUCUUCUAGGCUUGAAAAGGAGAAUUUUUUUUCACAAAUAUUUCCGGUAAAGGAUUUAAAUCAACAUAUAAGACCAUCAAAGAUGAUAUAUUUUUCAAACUUAUAGGAAAAAGACUUGUAGAAAGAACCAAGUCUUGUUUUUCAAGUUGAUCCACUCAAAUUAAAAUGGAUUCAUUGAGAUCAUCCUCAUCUAAAUAUAAGGAUUUAAGGCCUUGAAAGUAUGAAAGUGUGUGAGGAGGUUGGUCUUGCAUCUAAUUUUUGUAGAGGUGAAUAAUUGAUAUUCCACAACUGAGAUUGAAAAUCUAACUUGCUAAUUUAUCUGACACAAAGUAAUUGACAAAAAGAACAAGGAUUUUAAGUGCAGUAAAAUUGAUAUACUGAAGGGAUGGAUAAAUGUGCUGAAGUCUCCAAUGAUAAUUCCCAACAUGCAUACGAGAUUCAACUUCAUCCUUCAAUUGUACCAUAUAACAUAUAAGGCGUCAUCAGAAGGCUUAAAAUAUCAUUCUGAAGGAUAUACCAUUUAAUUUGUAAGCAAUACCAAUCUAAUAAGAAGCAACGGCAAUUAUUGCUCCAGAGUCCAGAAUCCUUCCGAAAUUAGAGUACACGUUUAACCAAUUCAUCAAGAAGAUGCCAAGAAUUGAAGCAUUUACAAGUUGCAUGCAAGUGUCUUGAUUUGAUUGGUGGAUGCGUAUUUAGUAAUUAGUAUAAAUUGACAAAUAUAUAAGUUCAAAAUUUUCAUUUUCAAGGUGUUUAAUCAAUUGCAUACUGUUUUAUUUUUUCUGUGAGAUCUAUGUUAUGAUGAAGAUGAAAUUGCUCUAUUUCUUGACA